GGGGCCCGCUCCCGGCGAGGCGGCGGCGGUCGUCAGCGCGGCGCCGCCGCCAUGGCGCUGGAAGCGGAGGCGACGGGGGCUCCCCUGAGCUCUUUCCUGAGGGACUUCCCGUCUCCUUUGGGCCCGGGGGAGCCGCUGCCAUGGAGCUCCGCGGGCAGCGGCGCCCUGAGCCGCGCCGAGGUGCCGGGCGCGCUGGCCGAGCUGGCGAGGGGCCUCUUCGGCGGCAGGGGCGUCUCACCACUUCUUGCAGCAUCAUUGAUCCAUGCCGCAGUUGAUGAAGUUCUCCAAAUAGACUUUACUGAAUUUAAGAAGCAAAGUGUGGAAAUGGAGGAAGAAGGAGAUGAGGAAAGGUUCACCUUGCUGGAUGGAGACUCAUUGCAGCGCUGCUUCUUUAACAAGCUUCGGGAUGUCUGCUUUGAAUGGCAGAAGCAGUUGCCACCAUUGAGACCACUGAAGCGUUUCCUGCUCGUUUCCAUCCAUGCCAUCCGUAACACUCGACGGAAAAUGGAAGACCGCCACGUUUUGCUCCCAGAGUUCAAUCAGCUGUUUGGUUUAUCGGAUGACACUGAUCGAGCUUACUUUGCUGUAUUUGAUGGCCAUGGUGGAGUGGAUGCUGCCAAUUAUUCAGCAACACAUUUACAUGUAAAUGUUGGACUACAUGAAGAAAUUGUUAAGAAUCCAGCUGAGGCCUUGAAAUGCUCUUUUCAGAAGACAGAUGAAAUGUUUCUUUUUAAAGCCAAAAGAGAGAGGCUGCGGAGUGGUACAACAGGUGUAUCAGCCUUGAUUGUAGGGAACGAGUUACAUAUUGCCUGGCUUGGGGACUCACAGGUGAUGCUGGUGAGGCAGGGAAAAGCUGUGACUUUAAUGGAACCUCACAAACCAGAAAGAGAAGAUGAGAAAGCCCGUAUUGAGGCUCUUGGUGGCUGUGUAACCUACAUGGACUGCUGGCGAGUUAAUGGUACCUUGGCUGUUUCCAGAGCAAUUGGUGACCUGUAUCAGAAACCCUACAUCUCUGGUGAUGCAGAUGGAGAUUCAUUUGAACUAACUGGUUCUGAAGAUUACUUGCUCUUAGCCUGUGAUGGAUUCUUUGAUGCUAUCAAACCAUACGAGGUUGUAGACUUGGUCCUAGAUCAUUUAAUGCAAACCAAAGGAGUGGGUCUCAAGGCAGCAGAAAGGCUAGUGGCUGCUGCAAAGGAAAACGGAUCCAGUGAUAACAUCACUGUUCUAGUGGUGUUCUUGAGGAACCCUCAGGACAUCUUGGCAGACUGUUUCAGAGACCCUAAGAGCAUUGGGGCCGGUGAGGAUGCGCGGAGCUCAGCCUUUAACUUCCUCAGCUGUGAGGCAGCAGCCACACAGUGACAGAAUCCGUUUAGUCCAGAACAUUGAACUAAAGGAAUUGCUUUCUGUUGAAGAAGCCUCUAAUAAUAGGCAAAACGUAAAAUGACAAAUGGACAAAUAUUUAGCAAAAAAGCAAGCCUCCUUUUAUUGAGCUCCCUCAUGUCUUUUCUUUCCCUCUCUUCAAAAACUACUGAGCAGGCCUGGAGACUUGUGCAGCCAUUUUUCCUCUGGGAACAGAUUUUAAAGUGUGUCCCAGGGCUGCUGGUCAUAUCCCUCUGCUCUGGAAGUGGUAAGAAACCAUAGUAUGUAUAAGCUAAUGGAUGAAAAUGCUUGUUUGUGAAUUCUGAGUGAAGCUUUAAAUUAGCACUUAAAAAGAAUGCUGUAUGUUUUAUAUUUAAUUUUGAUGUUACUUUGAGGAUUGGGAUGAGAGAAGCUGUACCAUCAAAGAGAAGCUUGUUACUGUGUGUGGCCUGUAGAAACAGGUUUGAUGUGCCAGAGAACUGGGUGACCGGAAGUAGCAGCGUAUGUGUUGUGUAAGUUAUUUCUUUUUUCGUACCAAAAAUGAUAUUAAGAGAAUGUUGUGACCUUUCUUCAAACAAAGAGGUUAAAUUAUGUGUGUAUGAGGAGUGGGAAAUGAAGCUAAAUGCUCCAGAGAAAGAGCAAGAAAGCUAUCCAGAAAUGCCCCCGGCAAAAAUAAUACAAAAUCAGCUGCUCUUUGGGAUGCUCUAGUUUAUAAACUGGAAUCCAAUGUUUAACUGCACUGGAUAAUUUUUCUGUAGCAAACAUACUUUCUUGGCUAUUUAGCAACCUUGAAAGAAAGGACGCUUAUUGAUAUGUUUGAAAGAGGUCCUUUACAGGUUGUAUAUGCUCUGCCAGUGACAUGUUCUGUUUCUGCCAUAUUUUUAUGUGAACUAUAACAAGUGAAUAUUUUAUUUUUAUUUUAAAGGUUUAUUUGUUUAUUUACUGAACUUUAUAGUUGGAGGAUUUUUGCAGUGUUACUUUAUUUUGUUGUGUUUUUUAUUUAAAAUAGAAUUUUAAAGUGGCUAUGUCUUUAUUAUGUGGUUUUAAAAACUGACUACCCUCAAGUGCCUUAAAUACUUCAUCCAAGCAUAGACAUUGCUGGCUUCCUGUCAUAAUCUGGUGAGCCGCUUUAUAAAGUUUUAAAAAUGUGAUUUUAAAAAUUUCAUUAAUAUUAACGUUUAAUGCACUUAACUAUUUCAUCUUCUAUUUUUGUGAAUGAUUUAGUGAGAACUAGUUUUCAAGAAAACAUCUCAUUCAGUGUUGCCAAAGCUUCACAAUACUUACUGUGAUAUCCCUCCCCUCCGUGCAAAAGCUAUCGUUAGUUAAUCAUAAAGUAAAUAGCUGAUUCAUCAUGACUUUCAUUUAAAGGCAAAUAUUCUUCCCAUCUUCACAAGAAAAUCUAAUAGCACAAGCUUAAAACUGACUAGUAACAGAAUUUUGAUCUUAAUAGGUUAAGCAACUAUUCAAAUUUGAAAUUUUAAUAGAUGCUUAAUGUUGGCCAUAUGUCAUCAACUUUUUGAGACCAAAUAACUUUUUUAAGGAGAUGUGAAGCUAAGGAAAGGAUGAAAGAAUUUUAAUGAACAUGUAUAUUGUUGUGCAAGUGUUAUACCCAUUACGUGUUAGAGCCACAGGUUGUGUUUUAUCCUGUCUUGCUGCCUGUCUGGCAAGAAUCUCAACAAGAAUGCUGAGUGGCAAAUGUAUUAGUAUUUCUGUACCUGAACAAGAAGUAAGUGCUUUACAUCUUGUAGUAAGAUUGUGUGCCUAACGGAGAAGGACGACAUUGCAGUAUGUCAGUCCUGUUGAUUCAAAUGUGUUGAAAAUUAGCAUUGUUUAGGAGAAAACAUAGGUAGAAGAGUUGUGGGGACUAAACAAAGGCAGAGCAGCGCUGUUUGUGUCCAUGGGGUCUCUGGGGUGUCAUCUAGUGUAGGACAAUGCAGUUACCUGAGUGACUUGAGCCUUUUGCCCAAUUACUAUGGACAGUUGUGCAGUUUUACAUAGUAACUCUUCAGUGAGCAACCAUCACAUUGCAUAGCAGACUUGGUGGUUUUGCUGUGGAAAUACUGUAGCUUUUCCAUUGGAAAUGUUGUAACCACUUUUCUACUGUGUCUUUUACUGCCCUUAAACAGGUGGGGAAAGCUUUCUGUGACAGCAACCUGGUAGCGCAGAUGUUAAUUUUUGUACUGAAUCUACUUCAGCCAAGGAAGCCUCCAGAACAGCAUAGUAAUCCCUUUGUGCCUACAUCUCACAGCUCUGCGGUUUCUAACUCAGAUGUUCAGUGUCAUGACCACUGUGCCUCUUGGUGUCAUGGAAAUAGAGGUCUCAUUAUUAAUAUAGUAAGAGUCACACAGAAUUGUCCAACUUCACUGCUUUCUGAAGUUUAUUGUUGUCAGGGGGUGAGGGAGAAACUGCUGAGUUCGUGAAGGGAGCUGUGAAAUGUUGGCAAACUCAUACUAUGGUUUAGUUUCUGAAAUUUUGCCAAUUUUCUGAAACAUGGGUGAAACCGAACAGGCCAAGCUCUCUGUAAUGAUCCUUCUGUUUCAAGCUUUUGGGGCAGAUGGAAAAAAUCCAAGUCUUACAAUACAUACUUACAGCCAUGUGAGACUAUCCCAUCAAAUUUGAAAGGAAUAAGAUUCAGGUGGGUGGGAGGGAGCUAUGUGCUAAAUGCACAUUUAGAAACCUGUCUGUGGUAAUCAAAAACUUAAAUAAUUGUAAAACUAUGCUUUAGGGAAGAAAUUCUGCAUUCUGAUAAGCUUUUCCUUUAUAUGGAUGUUUUCAUUCCGAAUGACUUGGUGCAUCAUUUCUCUGAGAUCUAAAGGAAUAGGAAUACUCCUCAGGAACUAUUAGAGAUUUUUUUUGGAGGAGGAGAGAAAGUGUUUCUCUAAUUUCCAGAGGGUUUUUACUAGCUUUAAAAAUUCCUGUUGGGUCUGUAGGAGGUUUAACGUGGUCAAGAAAUGGCAGUUUGUAUCCUGUCUGGACUAAAUAAGGCAUAAUGCAUCAUCUAGAGUACAACCUGAUUUCACAUGCUAUUUGCAAGGAAAGAAUGGUUUGGGACAUGUCUGACCUGCUCUUGACAGUCUGGAAAAACUAUGGAUUUUUUUUUUUUAUAAAAAAAAAUCAGCAUUGAUAUAAAUCAGUAAUGUGAGUUUAACAAAGGAUGCAACUAUGGAUUUUGAAAGAGUAUUUUUAAAAUUCUAUUGAAAACAAUCCUAAAAGUGAUCUUAUCCUUGGGAUGGCAUAACAACCUUCAACUUUUGCUUCACUUGUGACUUUGAUACCACUUUCAGAAGUCAACAGCUAUAAUGUAUAAUUGUCACCAGUAUGGGUGGUGGGAGUAGAGAGGUAGGAGCUCUAGCAGAAGAUUACGAAGUUGAACUAAAUAGUCCAAAAGCUGGAAUGGUGCUAUGUUUUGGAUUUACAGUACUAAUCUGCUGCAUUAGUUUUCUCUUUCUUUGCUCUUGAAUUUGAGUUUCCUCCUUGAGUUUCAAAUGUGAUUUUUUUUUUAUUUUGUUUUUUUUUUCUCUCCCUUCAUUUCAGCACUCUGUAACUAGUAAGUAAUUUUGGUGAGAGAAUGAUCCUACAUCUCCGGGCAUUCCUGGUGUCAUCUGAAAUAUUAAUGCUUUUCUGCCAGUGUAAGGUAUUGACUAAUUUGUCUGUCUCCUCAUUUUCUUUCUGAUGAGUAUGUUACUUCGAUCUUGCAACAAAAACGAUUAUUGAGUCUAGCCAAAAUCUUUGAAACCAUAAAAGCUAUUUGAAGGGUUCAAGACAAACGUUCAAUGAAAAUUUAAAGUAAUUUCGGAUUUUUACUAAACCUCAAAUGAAUGUCCUUGCCUGCAUUUUGGCAUCCAGUUUCAGAAAAAUUGCUCCUUAAAGGAGCCUGCAUUUGAAACACCACACUUUGAAAUUCUUACCUUGUGCUUGAUUGAAAACUUGCUUUUGUCAUACUGCUUAGUGGGUAUACAACAUCGCCUUUUGGUAUCGGCAAUUCAUUCUGCUACCCCUUCCUUCUCUACCUCUCGCUCUCCUAGAAAGAGAUAUACCUAAAACAGCCAAGUCUUUUGGUCUAAUGUAGAAAAGAUUAAAAUUUUACAAAUUCCAUGUGACUUGCUUUUCUUUCUUUCUUUCUUUUUUUUUUUUUUUUUUUUUUUUUUUGAGGGAACAUUUUAUAGAGGAUAGGCAGGAAAAUUAAGUAAAAUCCACCCUCUAAGUGAUGGAGGAGUGAAAGAGAGAGACAGGAAUGCAUUUAAGUAUUAUUAAUGCCUAUUUUAAAAAGGAAGUGGGCUGGAAAAUAGAGCUACCAAUGUCAGUUCCUUAGAGUGAAAUACCAAUGCUUGAAAGAAUUAGAAACACACCCAUUAAAAGCAAAACUCAGAUGUGGUAACUUUUGUCUUCAAGCAGCUAGGGAUGGAAUCAAAAUACCCUGGCACCCUAGGUGACUUUCUGUGACUCUCCAGUUUUCAGUGGUAAUGCUACUAAAUUCAUUUUUCUAAACAUGCUAUGUAUAAGGUAGUGUUAAGAGGAAACAUUCAGUAUAUGCAGUUAGUUAUUGGUCACUGUGCAACUGCUACCACGCGUAAAUGGCGUGAAGUGUGUUAAUGAAUUGAUACUGCUAGUGAGCUCUCAUAGGAUGAGUAAUCUGGCACAGAGUAGUUACAGCAGAGCUGGCAGUUGAAUAGUGUUAAUCACAGUGAUGACUUUGAAUUCAGAUAAGUGUCUAUUAAAUGCUAUUAAAGUCAGAUGAGAUGUUGCUCUUUUUAAAUGCAUUUCCAGUGCUAUUAGCUUUCUGUCAUGAAGAGCCACUGAAAUUUCCAGGGACCUUUCUGGAAAAAGAGGCAUUUCUGGAAAGCAUUAGAAGAAACAAUCCUUGGACCACAGAGCAUCCUGAAGAGA
Molecule: RNA transcript, 6246 nt
Organism: Rhea pennata
Lineage: Eukaryota; Metazoa; Chordata; Aves; Rheiformes; Rheidae
Gene: PPM1F
Gene name: protein phosphatase, Mg2+/Mn2+ dependent 1F
Exons: 8
Source: RefSeq, a predicted model, not a curated record